GAUGAACGCUGGCGGCGUGCCUAAUACAUGCAAGUCGAACGCUGGAAAUCUAGCUUGCUAGAUUGAAGGAGUGGCGAACGGGUGAGUAAUACAUAAGCAACCUACCCACGAAGACUGGGAUAAUCCCUGGAAACGGGGACUAAUACCGGAUAGGUAAUCGGAAGGCAUCUUCUGAUUAUUAAAGGUUAAAAACACUGGUGGAUGGGCUUAUGGCGCAUUAGUUAGUUGGUGAGGUAACGGCCCACCAAGACGAUGAUGCGUAGCCGGCCUGAGAGGGUGAACGGCCACAUUGGGACUGAGACACGGCCCAGACUCCUACGGGAGGCAGCAGUAGGGAAUUUUCGGCAAUGGGGGAAACCCUGACCGAGCAACGCCGCGUGAGUGAUGACGGCCUUCGGGUUGUAAAGCUCUGUUGUAAGGGAAGAACGGUAGAUAGAGAAUAUCUAAAUGACGGUACCUUACCAGAAAGCCACGGCUAACUACGUG
Molecule: ribosomal RNA, 486 nt
Filed under: uncultured bacterium
Lineage: Bacteria
Description: partial 16S ribosomal RNA
Rfam family: Bacterial small subunit ribosomal RNA
Source: RNAcentral